AACUUACCAGGUCAAGACAUGGGCGUGAUUGACAGGCUAAUGACUUUUCUCGAUUCCAUGGAUGGUGGUGCAUGGUCGCACUUAGUUGGUGCAGUGAUUUGUCAGGUUUAUUCCGGUAACGAACGAGACCUCGGCCUUGUAAAUAGCUAUGCUGCUUACAGGGACAUUGGCGGCUACGCCAAGGAAGCUCGAGGCAAUUGCAGAUCUGGAAUGCCCUUAGAUGUCCUGGGUCGCACGCGUGCUACAAUGACGCCACGAACGAGCUUGCGUGAUGAAAGUUACGCAUAAUCAGCAGUCGGCGUCUUAAGGGAUAGUCUCUUGUAACUGUGGGACUCCAACUAGGAAUGUCUCGUAAGCACAAGUCAACAUCUUGUGUUGAUUACGUCCCUGCUCUUUGUACACACCGCCCGUCGCUCCUACCGAUCGAGUGUUUAGGUGAAUUUGAUGGACGUAAGGAAGUCAAAUAAACCUGAGCACUAGAGAAGAGAAGUCGUCCAUGU
Molecule: ribosomal RNA, 500 nt
Filed under: uncultured Myrionecta
Lineage: Eukaryota; Ciliophora; Litostomatea; Cyclotrichida; Mesodiniidae
Description: bacterial SSU rRNA
Rfam family: Eukaryotic small subunit ribosomal RNA
Source: RNAcentral